RNAcentral lists this ribosomal RNA (427 nucleotides) under uncultured Burkholderiales bacterium. Its description in RNAcentral is "bacterial SSU rRNA". It matches the Rfam family "Bacterial small subunit ribosomal RNA", at positions 353 to 772 of the family's 1533-position model. Lineage: Bacteria; Pseudomonadati; Pseudomonadota; Betaproteobacteria; Burkholderiales. The record is from RNAcentral.
AGUGGGGAAUUUUGGACAAUGGGCGAAAGCCUGAUCCAGCCAUGCCGCGUGCGGGAAGAAGGCCUUCGGGUUGUAAACCGCUUUUGUCAGGGAAGAAACGCUCUGGGCUAAUAACCCGGGGUAAUGACGGUACCUGAAGAAUAAGCACCGGCUAACUACGUGCCAGCAGCCGCGGUAAUACGUAGGGUGCAAGCGUUAAUCGGAAUUACUGGGCGUAAAGCGUGCGCAGGCGGUUAUGUAAGACAGAGGUGAAAUCCCCGGGCUCAACCUGGGAACUGCCUUUGUGACUGCAUAGCUAGAGUUUGUCAGAGGGGGGUGGAAUUCCACGUGUAGCAGUGAAAUGCGUAGAUAUGUGGAAGAACACCGAUGGCGAAGGCAGCCCCCUGGGAUAAGACUGACGCUCAUGCACGAAAGCGUGGGGAGCAAA